This 98-nucleotide small RNA is filed under the name Mustela putorius furo (domestic ferret). RNAcentral describes it as "7SK RNA (ENSMPUG00000021810.1)". The record is from RNAcentral. Lineage: Eukaryota; Metazoa; Chordata; Mammalia; Carnivora; Mustelidae.
ACCGUUCUUCGGUCAAGGGUAUACGAGUAGCUGCGCUCCCCUGCUAGAACCUCCAAACAAACCUGAAGAGAUAUUUAAAACUAAUACCUCAGAAGUGC